CUUUUCAUUCCCGUUGUUAUGGAGGGCCACAUCUGCCAGAGCCUGGAGUCUGCGAAGGCCGGGACCCGGUUCCCCGGCCCACAGUGGGGGUGUGCAAACCCGAGAGAACUGGGUUGCAAAUUCGUGAAGAAUCAGCAUCAUGUUUGGCAGCUGAGUAUUGGAGCCAGGAGCCUGCCAUGAGCCGAUGCAGCCUCAGUGUUCCUUUGCCUUGGGGGUUUCUGAGUGGUGGGGUUGUAAGCAGAUCCUGCCAGGCACCCAGAAGGAAACCUCAUCAGGACUCCCUCAGAAAGGCCCUGAAGAAUCCUGUGACCUUCAUCUAAAGUAGGUCAUGAGACCCCUGAGCUUAAAACGGAGUGAUCGGCUUUGGAGAAAAAUCCCUGGAAGGCACGCAGGCUGGACAUCAUCAUAUAUUCUCUACAGAUGGAGACACCAAGGCCCACGCCUUCUGUGCUGUUGGAAUUUCAGGAAGGAUGGGGGUGGGGCACGGCCUCAGCCCUGGGCAUGUUCUGCAGAUUGCACUGCUCUUAUCUGCCAGGGGGUGGUGAGAGGGUGGCUGAGCUGGACAGAUGGCGGGCAGGGACGGGCUCUGCGGUCUGGCAGCUGACAUUGAUACAAGCAAAAAAAGAGUCUUUGCUGGGGGC
This 641-nucleotide long non-coding RNA is filed under the name Homo sapiens (human). RNAcentral's name for it is "small nucleolar RNA host gene 29". Lineage: Eukaryota; Metazoa; Chordata; Mammalia; Primates; Hominidae. The record is from RNAcentral.